AUCAAGCAAGAGAUUUUUGAACUCCGCAGAGAGGUGACUAAUUUGAAAGCUGGUAUGGAUCACUCAAUUGGUUUGGUUGAAAUUCUGGUUGCCGCCCAAGUCAAUCCUUCUAGGAGGGAGGAAGCGAUGAUAAAAGUCUUCACUGAAACUCUAAAAUCAUUCUCUCAUGAGAAGGUGUUGGUUAAUGCACCUAAUGACUUUCCUGACAAGGUGAAUAUGGGAGUGCGUCUAGAAGAAGACGUCGGAAAGGGAUGUUCAUAUGAAGAUGGUAGCUCAGCUAAUGGUGUGAAGAAGUUUGAUAAUAACUUUUCCAAGAAAAGAACCAGAGGAAAAAAUAAU
This is a non-coding RNA of Vicia faba (fava bean), 339 nucleotides long. Lineage: Eukaryota; Viridiplantae; Streptophyta; Magnoliopsida; Fabales; Fabaceae. The record is from the annotation of a GenBank genome assembly.